This 2688-nucleotide long non-coding RNA is filed under the name Sus scrofa (pig). RNAcentral's name for it is "lncRNA (ENSSSCG00000063197.1)". The record is from RNAcentral. Lineage: Eukaryota; Metazoa; Chordata; Mammalia; Artiodactyla; Suidae.
AAGAUGGUUUGUCUACUGCAGGGUCAAGGCUUUGGGGGUGGUCCUCUGAUAUGGGGUCUCAGAGAAUUAGAUUGUCUCACCAAAGGGGCCUGUGGGACUAUAGGCCCAGAGUGACUCAGUCCUUACUGUUUUCCAGAAAAACCUGGUCUGGAUUUUAAUGAAACUUCGAUGGCAUUUAAUGCAUAUGAAACAGUGUGUUAUGUGGGGCUCAACAAAAUUGAUGAGUGGCCAGAUCUGGCCUCUGGGUCACCAGUUGGCAGUUGCUUGUCUGGAGGGACUAGAGGUUAAGGACCCGAGUAUUAUGUUUCUUUUCUUCCCUAAUUUUUAUUUUUUUAAAUUUUUUUUUGUCUUUUUCCCUUUUCUAGGGCCGCUUCCUGUGGCAUAUGGAGGUUCCCAGGCUAGGGUUUGAAUCGGAGCUGUAGCCACUGGCCUACACCACAGCCAUAGCAAUGUGGGAUCCAAGCCACAUCUGCGACCUACACCACAGCUCACAGCAAUGCCAGAUCCUUAAUCCACUGAGCAAGGCCAGGGAUCAAACCCACAACCUCAUGGUUCCUAGUCGGAUUCGUUAACCACUGAGCCACAAUGGGAACUCCGAUUUUAUAGAAUUAACCAUUGUCAUUCCUCUAAUUGGUUUAGCUGUCCAAGUGCUGUACCAACCCCCUGGCUUGUUUCUCACCUCCUGGCGAUGAUCAUUUCUAUUUUAUAAAGAGGGAAAAAUGACUUGUCAAGUUCCCGGUCUGCCAAGUGGCCAAGGUUUGACUUGGGUCCAGGCCCAGGACUUCUGAGUAUGGAUCCCAUGUGCUUCCGAUGACAGCAUCUAGGCUGCCUUUUCACCAGGGAAUAAUUAGUGUUGAUUAAACAUCUUUGGUGCUUAAUAUGCUGCUGGGCUCAGAGCUUUGCAUACAUUUUCUCAGUGCAUUCUUGCAGCAACUCUGAGAGGUGAUGUUGUUGGUUCCUGAUUUAAUGACAAGGAAGUCAGACCUCAGAAGAGGUCAUCAAGCCAGUAAAUGACUGAGCUGUGACUUCAGAAACCCAGGUUUCUGAUUCCAAAGCAGCUAUAAAUCCCUGCUUCAGGUGGCAUCUCUUCCAUGAGAAACCUGUUGAGUCAUGAGAGAUGCCUUCAUAAAAUCCUGGAGGCCAAGUGGGGGAUGUUGCUCUCGUCCAAUGGCUCUUACCAGGUAUGGUUUUUACCCCCAGGGACAUUUGGCAAAUUCUGGAGACAUUUUAUUUUAUUUUACUUUUAUUAGAGUAUAGUUGAUUUACAGUGUUCUGUCAAUUUAUGCUGUAUAGCAAUGUGACCCAGUCAUACAUAUAUAUCUGUUCUUUUUCUCAUAUUAUUUUCUAUCAUGAUCUAUCCCAAGAGAUUGGAUAUAGUUCCCUGUGCUAUCCAAUAGGACCUCAUUGCUCAUCUAUUCUAAAUGUAGUAGUGUCCACCUACCAACCCCAAAGUCUCAGUCCAUCCCUCUCCCUCCCUCCCUCCCCCUUGACAACCACAAGUCUGUUGUCUAUGUCCGUGGGUCUGUUUCUGUUCUGUAGAUAGGUUCAUUUGUGCCCUAUUUUAGAAAUGAUAUCAAAUUGUAUUUGUCUUUCUCUUUCUGACUUACUUCACCUAGUAGGAGAAUCUCUGGUUCCAUCCAUGUUGCUGCAAAUGGCAUUAGGUCGUUCUUUUUUAUGGCUGAGUAGUAUUCCAUUGUGUAUGUGUACUAUAUCAUCUUAAUCCAGUCAUCUGUCGAUGGACAUUUAGGUUGUUUCCAUCCCUUGGCUAUUUUAAAUAGUGCUGCAAUGAAUUGGAGGCAUUUUUUUGAUUGCGGUGACUUGAUUGGGGGAGGGGUGCUCCUGGCAUCUGUGUAGAUUGAGGGCUGGGAGGCUGCUGGACAUCCCAGGAUGCCCUGGGAAGCCUUGCCACCCAGACUUAUUGGGUCCCAAUUGCAGAGACAGCCAAGGCUGAGAAACCUUGUCCCAUCCUUCCAGAGUCUGACGUGCAAGUUAUCAAUACCAAAGCCCUACAUUGUGGGCCUACAGGCCAUAGACGUGUUUUCUUUGGCUUAGUCACUAUGUAUGUAUGUAUGUAUGUAUUAAUUAUCCCUGGUUUUCACAUGAAAACCUGGAUUGCCAGUCUCUUCUAAAACCGUAGAAGACCUGGCCACAUCUGGCGUGGAGUACAGGCAGCUGGAGCUGAGCAGUAGCUGUUCCAUGGGGGCAGGGGGCAUCAGCUGCCCACUUUGCCCCUAACCCCUCCCUGGCUUCUUUUAUUCUGUUACAUCCUUUGCUGACCCUCCCUGAAGGUCACAGAUCUCCAAUGACCUUCUCCCAUUCCAGCACUCACUCUCAAGGUGAGUCAAACACCUCUCUCCCCGCCCAUCCCAUAGCAUCCUCUGGUGCCCUCUUGCCUCUCAUCCAUGAGACGGCCCUUCCUAGGUUCGACAUGGCUCUCUGCAUCCCUCACCUGCUCUGCGGCUUCAUCUUGCUCCCUCCGAUUUCCUCCACACAGUCAUUCUGAGAAAGGGGAGGUAGCUGUGCUUUUCUUCGCUCUGAGUGGAUUCCAUCCAGCCUCUGCACAGAGCAAGGGUGGAAAGGAAUCUGGAAUCGUCACAGUUGCUUGUGAAUCUGAUUUUCCGUGGCCUUGUUAGGCACUUUACAUGUUGUGAAAUCCAAGGUAUUUAGGUCAGUGAAAACCCAUUGUUC